CCGGGUGAGUAACACGUGACUAACCUACCCUAGAGUGGGGGAUAACCUCGGGAAACCGAGGCUAAUACCGCAUAAAAUCGAAAGAUCAAAGGAGUAAUCCGCUUUUGGAGGGGGUCGCGGCUGAUUAGCUAGUUGGUAGGGUAAUGGUCUACCAAGGCGAAGAUCGGUAUCCGGCCUGAGAGGGCGCACGGACACACUGGAACUGAAACACGGUCCAGACUCCUACGGGAGGCAGCAGUGGGGAAUUUUGCGCAAUGGGGGAAACCCUGACGCAGCAACGCCGCGUGGAGGAUGAAGCCCCUUGGGGUGUAAACUCCUUUCGACCGGGAAAAUAAUGAUGGUACCGGUGGAAGAAGCACCGGCUAACUCUGUGCCAGCAGCCGCGG
Molecule: ribosomal RNA, 386 nt
Filed under: uncultured bacterium
Lineage: Bacteria
Description: bacterial SSU rRNA
Rfam family: Bacterial small subunit ribosomal RNA
Source: RNAcentral